Molecule: non-coding RNA, 79 nt
Organism: Cordylochernes scorpioides
Lineage: Eukaryota; Metazoa; Arthropoda; Arachnida; Pseudoscorpiones; Chernetidae
Source: the annotation of a GenBank genome assembly
AUAAAAAGUGUCCAGGGGCGGGAAUCGAACCCACAACCUUCUGCUUACCGGGCAGAUUCCAGCCCCUGGACACUUUUUA